UACGUAGGGUGCGAGCGUUGUCCGGAUUUACUGGGCGUAAAGGGCGCGUAGGCGGCCAGCACAAGUCAGUUGUGAAAUCUCCGAGCUUAACUCGGAACGGUCAACUGAUACUGUGCGGCUAGAGUGCGGAAGGGGCAACUGGAAUUCUUGGUGUAGCGGUGAAAUGCGCAGAUAUCAGGAGGAACACCGGUGGCGAAGGUGGGUCUCUGGGCCGUAACUGACGCUGAGGAGCGAAAGCGUGGGGAGCGAACAGG
This 254-nucleotide ribosomal RNA is filed under the name uncultured bacterium. Its description in RNAcentral is "partial 16S ribosomal RNA". It matches the Rfam family "Bacterial small subunit ribosomal RNA", at positions 524 to 776 of the family's 1533-position model. The record is from RNAcentral.